RNAcentral lists this long non-coding RNA (316 nucleotides) under Anas platyrhynchos (mallard). RNAcentral describes it as "lncRNA (ENSAPLG00020018255.1)". The record is from RNAcentral. Lineage: Eukaryota; Metazoa; Chordata; Aves; Anseriformes; Anatidae.
GAGGGCAGGGGUCAGCCAAAUCUCCCAGCUAGAUUACCAGGGAGUUCAGGAUUACACUUUCAAUGCCAAAUACACAUGUAUUGGAAAAGAAAUAGAUAAAUGGAUGACUAGGAAACACAGCAGAUUCAGCCUGCCUGUGGAGAAUAGAAAGAAAUGGUGAAUUGAAAACUUUCAGAGCCAGGGUUUGACAUCAGUAGAACAGAACAGAAGCAAAGAUCAGGGAACACUAGGAUUCUCUCAGCUCAAUGUGGACCAAAGAUCAUUGCAGACAAUGGCCUGAAGGUAAGAGCACUUCCACAGCAUACCAAGAAUCUCU